Molecule: long non-coding RNA, 1064 nt
Organism: Orbicella faveolata
Lineage: Eukaryota; Metazoa; Cnidaria; Anthozoa; Scleractinia; Merulinidae
Source: RefSeq, a predicted model, not a curated record
ACGAUUUUUUUCCCGAAGGGCACCCGCGAAGGUGGGAAGUAACCUUAAGCCACUUCCAAGAAGACUUAAAAGCCACUCCAUGUUCUGCAGUAUCCAAUACUAUGGGUUAUUAAUUUCUGGCAUUAUGGCUGCUUUCUAUAGAUGGGUCAUGUAAAUUGACUUUGAAUAUCAGUACAUUUUAUGGUAUGGUAAAAACAGAAACAAUCUUGGACAAACUUUCAAUUGGCAACUUAUAACCUUCAUUAUUGCUGAGAAAAAUGUUGUAAAUGAACUAAUGCGGAGUCCUUCAUCCAAGUUUUGCAAGUUGUAGAGAGUAGUGGGAAAUCUUUAUGACAAUAUUGGUCUGCUUUGCAUUGCCAGAUCUUCAUGACAUACACUGUAGGUUGCUUGUUACAUUGAAAGAUCCGCUGAAUUAAAUUGAAAUGUUCUUGGUGUACUAUGAAUGUCUCACUUGUGUCUUAGAAGUGAAUUUAAGGUCAUACAAUCAUUCAUUACACAAGUCAGUGAUAUAAGACAGUAAAAUAAAUAUUAAGAAGCUGUACUUUUUAAAAAAAUACGAAUGCCAGCUACCCUGUCAAUAUUUUUUAUGUUGCCCCUAAACAGUUUUUGCUGGUAUACUCUAUUUAUACUGAGACUUGGCAGUCAUGGGAACUGUAGGAGUAAAGUGUCCAAACCGAAAGCACGUCACUGUAAAACCUGUUGUCAGUGCUCAGACCAAGAUGAAGUAGUGCCAUGAAAAUUGUGCCUCAGUUUGAUUUCUUGUUUCAUUUUGCCAGGCAGAGCUCAAAUCUUGUUUUCCCGAGUCUUAUCUUAACGGCAUUAAACAGUUACGCCAUUUACAUGAUCUGUGUGAGUGGGGAGCAAAAGAAGGACUCAACAGAUUACGAAACAUCUUGAAGCAUUACAGCAGAGAAACAGCAGCACUGUUAAUAGAGCAGACAGAGGCAAGCCAUCUGGAGCGGUUUCCUUCUCUUCUCACAGUUGGUCGGAGUGUAGUGAGCAACUUCCUUCACAAUAUUGACAUGUAAGUUCUAAGUGAUGUUUUCUUUAUGGCAACUAUAGUG